Molecule: ribosomal RNA, 483 nt
Filed under: uncultured bacterium
Lineage: Bacteria
Description: partial 16S ribosomal RNA
Rfam family: Bacterial small subunit ribosomal RNA
Source: RNAcentral
UUGAACGCUGGCGGCAGGCCUCACACAUGCAAGUCGAGCGGAUGAAGGGAGCUUGCUCCUGGAUUCAGCGGCGGACGGGCGAGUAAUGCCUAGGAAUCUGCCUGGUAGUGGGGGAUAACGUCCGGAAACGGGCGCUAAUACCGCAUACGUCCUGAGGGAGAAAGUGGGGGAUCUUCGGACCUCACGCUAUCAGAUGAGCCUAGGUCGGAUUAGCUAGUUGGUGGGGUAAAGGCCUACCAAGGCGACGAUCCGUAACUGGUCUGAGAGGAUGAUCAGUCACACUGGAACUGAGACACGGUCCAGACUCCUACGGGAGGCAGCAGUGGGGAAUAUUGGACAAUGGGCGAAAGCCUGAUCCAGCCAUGCCGCGUGUGUGAAGAAGGUCUUCGGAUUGUAAAGCACUUUAAGUUGGGAGGAAGGGCAGUAAGUUAAUACCUUGCUGUUUUGACGUUACCAACAGAAUAAGCACCGGCUAACUUCGUG